AGAUAUGAUGCUGCAGCCAAGGAUGACUUGCCGAGAAGUUCUUUCUCUAAUUUAACUUUCAUUUCAUUUUAGUCAAUUUAUAGUGCACUAGUGCUGAUAUAUGUUAUGCACUAGAGCACAAUAAUGAAGGGUCUUUAGGGAUAUGGUAAAUUCGGCAACUCAUCUUUGGCUACAUGUCUAUCUCA
This is a non-coding RNA of Cajanus cajan (pigeon pea), 185 nucleotides long. Lineage: Eukaryota; Viridiplantae; Streptophyta; Magnoliopsida; Fabales; Fabaceae. The record is from Rfam.